Molecule: ribosomal RNA, 1340 nt
Filed under: uncultured bacterium
Lineage: Bacteria
Description: bacterial SSU rRNA
Rfam family: Bacterial small subunit ribosomal RNA
Source: RNAcentral
GACGAACGCUGGCGGCGUGCUUAACACAUGCAAGUCGAACGGAAAGGCUCCUGCUUGUAGGGGUACUCGAGUGGCGAACGGGUGAGUAACACGUGGGUGAUCUGCCUUGCACUCUGGGAUAAGCUUGGGAAACUGGGUCUAAUACCGGAUAGGAACCGUCUUUAGUGUGGUGGUUGGAAAGUUUUUUCGGUGCAAGAUGAGCUCGCGGCCUAUCAGCUUGUUGGUGGGGUAAUGGCCUACCAAGGCGUCGACGGGUAGCCGGCCUGAGAGGGUGUACGGCCACAUUGGGACUGAGAUACGGCCCAGACUCCUACGGGAGGCAGCAGUGGGGAAUAUUGCACAAUGGGCGGAAGCCUGAUGCAGCGACGCCGCGUGGGGGAUGACGGCCUUCGGGUUGUAAACUCCUUUCGACAGGAACGAAGCGCAAGUGACGGUACCUGUAUAAGAAGCACCGGCUAACUACGUGCCAGCAGCCGCGGUAAUACGUAGGGUGCGAGCGUUGUCCGGAAUUACUGGGCGUAAAGAGCUCGUAGGUGGUUUGUCGCGUCGUCUGUGAAAUUCCGGGGCUUAACUCCGGGCGUGCAGGCGAUACGGGCAUAACUUGAGUGCUGUAGGGGAGACUGGAAUUCCUGGUGUAGCGGUGAAAUGCGCAGAUAUCAGGAGGAACACCGAUGGCGAAGGCAGGUCUCUGGGCAGUUACUGACGCUGAGGAGCGAAAGCAUGGGUAGCGAACAGGAUUAGAUACCCUGGUAGUCCAUGCCGUAAACGGUGGGCGCUAGGUGUAGGGGGCUUCCACGUCUUCUGUGCCGUAGCUAACGCAUUAAGCGCCCCGCCUGGGGAGUACGGCCGCAAGGCUAAAACUCAAAGGAAUUGACGGGGGCCCGCACAAGCGGCGGAGCAUGUGGAUUAAUUCGAUGCAACGCGAAGAACCUUACCUGGGCUUGACAUACACCAGAUCGCUGCAGAGAUGUAGUUUCCCUUGUGGUUGGUGUACAGGUGGUGCAUGGUUGUCGUCAGCUCGUGUCGUGAGAUGUUGGGUUAAGUCCCGCAACGAGCGCAACCCUUGUCUUAUGUUGCCAGCAUUUUGGUUGGGGACUCAUGAGAGACUGCCGGGGUUAACUCGGAGGAAGGUGGGGAUGACGUCAAAUCAUCAUGCCCCUUAUGUCCAGGGCUUCACACAUGCUACAAUGGUCGGUACAACGCGCAGCGAUACUGUGAGGUGGAGCGAAUCGCUGAAAGCCGGUCUUAGUUCGGAUUGGGGUCUGCAACUCGACCCCAUGAAGUCGGAGUCGCUAGUAAUCGUAGAUCAGCAAUGCUGCGGUGAAUACGUUCCCGGGCCU